RNAcentral lists this ribosomal RNA (253 nucleotides) under uncultured bacterium. RNAcentral's name for it is "partial 16S ribosomal RNA". It matches the Rfam family "Bacterial small subunit ribosomal RNA", at positions 524 to 776 of the family's 1533-position model. The record is from RNAcentral.
UACGUAGGGUGCAAGCGUUGUCCGGAAUUAUUGGGCGUAAAGAGCUUGUAGGCGGUUUGUCGCGUCUGCUGUGAAAUUUCGGGGCUCAACCUUGGGCUUGCAGUGGGUACGGGCAGACUAGAGUGCGGUAGGGGUGACUGGAAUUCCUGGUGUAGCGGUGGAAUGCGCAGAUAUCAGGAGGAACACCGAUGGCGAAGGCAGGUCACUGGGCCGCAACUGACGCUGAGGAGCGAAAGCAUGGGGAGCGAACAGG